GAAAUAGUGGCAUUUUAACAAUCCCACUUGUUUGGUUAAUGAUUAUUUAAUUUCUAGUCAAUUCCGUUUCCCUUUUCCAUAUCUGGAUUGACUAAUCAGAAAAUUGUUGGGUUACUUUGAGUUUUGAUUGAUAAGCCGCCAUCCACCAUCCCCCAGCCCCUGAAAAUCCCCUUCGGUGCAGUGAUAAGGCUCCCAAAUUAUAUGACCAUGGGUGGCACGUCAUAAAAAUAUAUUGAUUAGACAAAUUAAAUUCUUUUUCGAGUCUUGGCGAGGCAACAUCUUACCUAACUUGGCCGGAUUUAGUGAUUAAUCUAAUCAGCAUAUUAUAGCGGACAUAAAUAUACGAAUGCUUGCAAUAAAACAAAUCGUCUGGA
Drosophila ananassae is the source of this 374-nucleotide long non-coding RNA. RefSeq lists it as uncharacterized. The record is from RefSeq and is a predicted model, not a curated record. The transcript is spliced from 2 exons. NCBI's taxonomy places the organism in Eukaryota, Metazoa, Arthropoda, Insecta, Diptera, Drosophilidae.